GACGAACGCUGGCGGCGUGCUUAACACAUGCAAGUCGAACGGAAAGGCCCUGCUUGCAGGGUACUCGAGUGGCGAACGGGUGAGUAACACGUGGGUGAUCUGCCCUGCACUUCGGGAUAAGCCUUGGAAACUGGGUCUAAUACCGGAUAGAAGCCAUUUUGAGUGUGAUGGUUGGAAAGUUUUUUCGGUGUCGGAUGAGCUCGCGGCCUAUCCGCUUGUUGGUGGGGUAAUGGCCUACCAAGGAGGCGGCGGGUAGCCGGCCUGGGAGGGUGGACGGCCACAUUGGGACUGAGAUACGGCCCAGGCUCCUACGGGAGGCAGCAGUGGGGAAUAUUGCACAAUGGGGGCGAGCCCGAUGCAGCGACGCCGCGUGGGGGAUGACGGCCUUCGGGUUGUAAACUCCUUUCGCUAGGGACGAAGCUUUUUGUGACGGUACCUAGAUAAGAAGCACCGGCUAACUACGUG
Molecule: ribosomal RNA, 465 nt
Filed under: uncultured bacterium
Lineage: Bacteria
Description: partial 16S ribosomal RNA
Rfam family: Bacterial small subunit ribosomal RNA
Source: RNAcentral